Long non-coding RNA from Vespa velutina, 2811 nucleotides. RefSeq lists it as uncharacterized. NCBI's taxonomy places the organism in Eukaryota, Metazoa, Arthropoda, Insecta, Hymenoptera, Vespidae. The record is from RefSeq and is a predicted model, not a curated record. The transcript has 2 exons.
CUUUUCUCUUCGAGCCAAGCCUACAAAGAAACAAAUUCUUUUCUUAUAUGAAUUCUUCACGAGACCAAACUUGUAUUUCGUUCUUUACAAAAUGAUAAAUCCUCGAAAAAGAGAGGGAAAUUGACGGGUGGCUUACUUCGAAAAGAGCGCGAAAUAAAUGACCUUUCAAAUUCGUAACGAUUAACCUCUUUAAGAAUAAAUGAUCGAAUAUUGAAACACAAAGGGAACAUUUCUUUUUUGUAAUUAAUAAUAUUUCUUCGUGCAAGAUGAUUUUCUAUCCGUAAGAGAGAAGAAACAUUUAUUUAAAAAAAAAAAAAAAAGAAGAAACGAUAAAACCUUGUUAAUAUUAUUCUAUUCUUUCUAAUUAUGGUGCAAUCUUGAAAAUAAUUUCGAAAUUGAACGUGAACGUAUUUAAUUUAAUAUCCUUGACAAGGUUAAACGCUUCGAUAACGACUGCAGUGCCACCUUCGAUUUCAAAUAAUUGUAUGAUAAUUAUAUUCGAAUCCGCGCGCGAAAAUAAAAUAUAUUUAAAUAUCAUUUUGACGACGUAAAAAGUCGUGAAAAGAAGAGACAAGACUGACCUUUCGAAAGUUCACAAAUAGAGGAAGAGAAAGAGAGAGAGAGAGAGAGAGAAAUCAAGCGAAGGGAAGUCUGUCUGUAUAUCUGGUUAUAGAGAAGGUCAAAAUCCUCUCAACUCGUGCGUGCUUCACUAUAAUUGUCUAACCUCAAAUUAUUUCUAAAUUAGGAAUGAACGAGCAAAAUUUGUUUUUUUCUGUUUCGAUUUCUUUAUCGAAUACGUAUCUAUAAGUCUUUCUUCUAAUAUUCAUAACGCGUAGAUCCAUUGUAAUCGAGAGUCACGACGUAUUUAAAAUUUAAAUUGAGUUAGAAUAAAAUGAUCGAAUAAAUUGUACGGUGUAAACGACGUCAAUGCUAUAAAUCAGUCACUUUAAUACGCGACACUUUCAAAAAUCAUUUAACUUAUGUUACAAUUAUUAUUGACGAUCUAACAAGAUUCUAUGCAUCAUUAUAUUUGAUAAUCGAUCAUUAGAAAGGCGAUAAAUAUAUCCUGUUAAAAAUUUUUCCUACGUAAACGUAUAUACCUAAUCAAAUAGGAUUAUCAAACAAACGCGUAAAAUUUGUAAAAAUUUAUCGUAAUGAUCGUGAAAAUAACCGAGGAAACAUCAUUUCUUAAGUUAUAGUAAAUGUCUUGCACUUGCAACUAAGGAAGCUUUUUAACGUAAAGUGAAUUUCUUGAUUCGCCCUAAAUGGAUACUGACUUGACUCCCUUCUUCUUCUUCUUUCUUCUCUUCCUCCUCCUCCUUCUCUUCUUUUUCUUCUUCUCUGUCUCUCCCCACCCUUUCUAACUUUUUUUCUCAUUCACUAUGCUUUUCCUUAUAUUCGUUUUCUUCGGUAUAUAAACCUCUCUUUCUCUUUAUUACUCUAAAGAUCUUUACAAAGUUUCUACUAUGUCUUUUCGACAUAAUAGUAUAAUAUUCUUGGUACUCGUAAGCGCGUGCCACGUAGGCGCCACAAGAAACGAGUACCCGACGGUAUUCGCGUAAUGCACGCACUGAAGAAGAAAACGGACACGACCCUCCGAGAGAAGAAAAGAGAAGAGAAUGAGAGAAAGAGAGAGAUAGAUACAUAGAUAGAUAGAUAGAUAGAGAGAGAGAGAGAGAGAGAGAGAGAGAGAGAGAGAGUCAGAAGAUGUUAGGUACAUUCACCGAUUCCACUAUACCGAUCCUUGCCGUCCGAAUAGAAUUGCAUCGAGAUCGGUUGAGAACCCUCACCCUUUUUCCUACUAUACGUUCAAGAAUGGAGGGGGUAAUCUUUUCAAGACGCGUUACUCACAACCAGAAGACGAUUAGUGAAUCUCUUCGAUGGACUUCUCGGCGGAAAAGGUCUUACGACCCUUCGCAACAAUUUUCUUUACUUUCAUACACUCACCAGACUGGAAAAAAGUUCCAAUCGAUUUUACGCAAAUAUAUUUAGUUAGACACGCAAUGUAAAGGGUGUUCUCCCUCUCCUUUCCUAUCUCCCCUCCUCUCUCUCUCUCUCUCUCUCUCUCUCUCUCUCUCUCUCUCUCUCUCUCUCUCUCUCUAAAUUGAAUAUAUUUUUUAACACAACAAUUUAAUCGAUUGGAACAAUCUACAAAAAUGUUGUUUACUUUUUACAUGAUAUUUUAGAGCACCCUUAUAUACCAUGGUCACUUUGUUGACACGCCACUGAUGACUGCAGUCAGAGUGCAUGAGGCCCAUGUAAGAGUAUGCGAGGAGUUUGUGUCGAGGAGAGGGGCGAAAUGGACGGAUAAGAGAAAGGUGAAUACAUUCAGGUAUAUAGAGAGGAAAAGAGAGAGAAGAUGUACAGCGAAGGCGGACGAGUUUCGAAUUGACCUAGCAACUUGCUCUUCUCGUUCAACUAUACACGAAAUCUUAUGAGUCUAACGUGGAAACUGUUUCAAGUCUCCUUUCUAAGAGAUCAGAAUCCAAACGAUGUUUACAAAGAUAUUGACCUUCCAAAAAGAGAACUGGUAUUUCAUAUCGAUAUAAUUUAAGAUACGCUUCGUUUCCCAAGGCCGUAAUAUCAACUUCUUCCAAUUGAUAUCGAUUAGCGAAACGUAAGUGCAAUUCAUCCUUUAAGAUGUCGCAAAGAGGACAAGGAUGCUUCGUAUAUAGCGUUAGUUUUGGCGGAGUUGAAACCGAGUGAUACCUAAGGAAUGAUAAUAAAUCCAUCUACCCAUGAAACUAUCUUUAUUAUCAAAUAUUUGAUUGUGACAAAUAUUUAACAAUAAAUUAUGAUAUUUUAUCACCA